UAGAGAUCUUCGGUUUACUUCAAGGUUAGGAGCACUGUAAAAGGUUAUGGGUACUAAGUUGAGAUUUAGUACCUCUUACCAUUCACAAACUAAUAGAUAGAUUGAGUGUACAAUAUAGACUCUGGAUGAAAUGCUUUGAUCAUGUGCUCUCGAAUGGAAAGGCAAUUGGGACAGUCAUUUGCCUUUAGCUAGAUUCGCCUACAAUAAUAGCUUCUAUUCAAGUAUUCAAAUGGCGCCUUAUGAAGCAUUAUAUGGGCGAAAGUAUAUAUCUCCUCUAUGUUGGGUGAUUGGUCCAGAUAUUGUGGAUCAAACGAUAGAGAAAAUCCAAGCUAUUAGGCAGAACUUUCUUACUGCCCAGAGCUAUUAGAAAAGUUAUGUUGAUAAGUAACGUCGACCAUUAGAUUGAGCCAAUUGCGUAACAAGGCUAUUCGAUUGGUAAAAGUGUUCUGAUGAGGAAUGGCUUUUGGUUUCGUAACGUGGGAGACGGAGGAGAAUAUAAGGAAGCAAUAACCUCAUUUGUUUUGUCCAUAAAGUGAGUUUUAACUAUAUUUGAAUUUUGGGGACAAAAUUCCUUUAUAGAAUUGUAACAUUCUAAAUUUCAAUUUAAAAAAAUAGUUAACUAAUCAGGGUUGGAUUAGUAAUCAGUGAAUUGAUUAUAGUCUCGAUGCUGAGUUGAUGUUUUUGUAUUGGUUGGUUGUUAUGUUAAGAGUAUUGAAGGGUAAAAUGACAAUCCAGGAUGUAACGUGCGAACAACAGUGAAAAUUGUCUCAUUAUGCCACGCGCCACGGCAUGUCUUGCAUGCAUCGCAACGCAUGGUAUAGAAUUUUGACAAGUUAAGUCGUGCUAGCUCGUGAAAUCAAAAGGGGAGAUUUAGAAAAACAUGCAUGAGAGGCAAAAAAGGCUUGGCUUUGUUAAGGCAUUCAUUUGCAAGAGCUUGGGAGUUUGCUUCGGCUAGUGACUUGUUGGAUUGAGCAUUUGUGUCAUUGCUCGUGAGAGUCUACACCCUUGGGAGCUUGGUGUGAUUAGCACCCUUAGUAAGAAGGGUAAAAAGGUGAAGAGAGCAUGAAAGGAUUGGAAAAGGAGGCAAGGAAAGAAUAGCCUCAAUUGGUAGUGGUAUGACUACUUUUGUGUAAUGAAUGUACAAAUGGAAUGUUAGAGAUUUAAGUUGCCAACUAAGAUGCAUAAGUAUAUGUAAAUAUGAAUAUGUGAAUGUAUAUUUAGUUUGUGAUUGAAAACUUACGUGUAUGUAAUAUUGCAUCUUGUCGAGUGUAUCACAAUAGUGAAUAUGUCGGUAGGCCAUGUAUCCAAGCAAGUUUGUAUUGCAUUGUAUAACUUGUUUCAUUUGUAUUGUAUGUAUUGUGUAUUUGUGGAAAACAUAACCAAAUGGUGAGGCUUGGCCUCAUUUGUGA
This is a long non-coding RNA of Prosopis cineraria, 1409 nucleotides long. RefSeq lists it as uncharacterized. The transcript has 3 exons. NCBI's taxonomy places the organism in Eukaryota, Viridiplantae, Streptophyta, Magnoliopsida, Fabales, Fabaceae. The record is from RefSeq and is a predicted model, not a curated record.